Molecule: long non-coding RNA, 1686 nt
Filed under: Ananas comosus (pineapple)
Lineage: Eukaryota; Viridiplantae; Streptophyta; Magnoliopsida; Poales; Bromeliaceae
Description: long non-coding RNA (ACOM_LNC006439)
Source: RNAcentral
ACUGAGAUACUAUCGAUACCGUCAAGAGCUUGGUGCUACUGAGUUUUCCGUCGUUAGAUUUAAUCCUUUGACUAUUUUUAUCCGUUAAAUUAUAUUAUUCAAUCUAUAACUAAUUCAAUUCUAGAGGGUUCACAUCAUUCUAACCGUACAUUUUUUCAUUUAAUGACCGAAAAUCUAAUAGCACAAAUAGCUUGGUACUAUUGAUAGUAUUCCAGCGAGUUGAGCUAGAAUACUCUCAAAAGCAUCAUGAAGGUAGUGAUUUUGAGUUUUUAGCCAUUAAAUGGAGGGAUGUGAGGUUGAGAUGAUAGUGGUAGGUAAAAUAGUGUUUGAUCCAAAAACUAUUAGUAAUCAAGAAGUAAAUUCAAAGGCUAAAAACUUGGAAGCGCACCAAGAGAUUGGUGCUUCUAAUUAAAAGUAUUCUAGCUCAAUUAGUAUUCCAGCAUAUAUAUAUAUAUAUAUAUAUAUAUAUAUAUAUAUAUAUAUAUAUAGAGAGAGAGAGAGAGAGAGAGAGAGAGAGAGAGAGAGGUUUCUAUACUUUCGAAAGUACGGAGGCCUCCGUACUUGUAAGUUAUUUUCAAUGAUGGGACUUCCAAUUCGGCGAUCGGUUUCAUUAAAUAUGAUCUACGCUAUUGGAACUAUCUAGAAACCAAAUUUCAUAAUUUUUGACUUUGUUUGCCUAGUGAACGAGUAGCAUUAAAAUGAACGGCUGAAAAUAAAAAUCUCAUAAAAAACAGUGAUAAAAGACUCAAAUUUCAAAUCAGUAGUAUUGUUCUUACUCUUAAUGUUAAGUAGAAUUUUCUAUUAAAAUUUCACAUAAUUUGAAAACUUCUACACCGUUGAAUUUAAAAACAUGUCACAUCGGCCGUUAAAAUAGUCAUUUUUGAGAUCCUGUGAUCGUUUGGUAAAUGAUGUCGAAAAAUUAUAAAAUUUGGUUUCUAGAUAGUUCCAAUAGCUUAGAUUUUGCCUAACGGAGCCGAUCGUCGAAUCGGAUUUCCUAGAAUCGAAAACAACUUACAAGCACGGAGGCCUUCGUACUUUCGAAAGCACGGGAGACGUACUAUAUAUAUAUAUAUAUAUGUAUAUAUAUAGUGCGGCUAGAAUGCUUAUGGAAGCACGGAAGGCUCCGUGCUUCCAUUUUGUUUUCGAUGUUCGGACUUUCGAAUCGGCGUUUGGCUUCGUUAGACUUGAUCUAGAGUAUUUGAAAUAUCUAGAAAAUAAAUUUUGCGAUUUUUCGAUAUCAUUUGCCUAGUGAUCGAAGUGGCUCAAAAUCAACGGCUGAAAAUAAAAAUCUUACAAAAUAUGAUGAUAUGACAUUAAAAUUUUAGAUCAAAGUUAUUGAUCUUGUUUUAUAUGGUAUAAAGAAUUUUCUAUCAAAAUUUCAUGUGAUUUGGAUAUUUCUACACCGUUAAACUUGCAACCGGCUCACCACGGCCAUUAAAAUUAUUGAUUUUGAACCCCUUCGAUAACUAAGCAAAUAAUAUCGAAAAAUCACAAAAUUUAUUUUCUAGGUACUACAAAUACUCUAGAUCAGCUCUAACGGAGCCGAUCGUCGAUUCGAAAGUCCGAACAUCGAAAAUAAUUUGAAAGCACGAAGUAAGCAUACCAGCCCACUCUAUAUAUAACACUCGCUGACUUCACGUCGACCUAAAAAAAAGUAGUGAACUCCACGUGUCUGCCUUGCCUUCA